Molecule: long non-coding RNA, 361 nt
Filed under: Phasianus colchicus (ring-necked pheasant)
Lineage: Eukaryota; Metazoa; Chordata; Aves; Galliformes; Phasianidae
Description: lncRNA (ENSPCLG00000012781.1)
Source: RNAcentral
CCAAGGCUGUUGUCUUGCUUGAUUUUUAUUAACCAAGCAGAGUUUGACUACAUCAGCAAUCGUACAGAAGCCCUCCAGGAGAAAUUAAGAAAGAAUAGGCUGGAUGCUUUCCAGGGUUGAUCCUGUGCAGUAGAGCUGCAGCUGGAGCAUUGGUCAGCUGCAGGCACACGUGGGAGAGGAAGGGGCCCCACCAAGCACACACCUUUCUGCCAGAUCCUUCUGCGUUUGGCAUCCUCAAUUUACGCUCGUGACAAAAAUUUCAGGAAUUACAAUGAUUUGGAGAGUAAAACACACAUUUCUGUUGUGUCGUGGUAGCUUUGGUGUAUCACAAGGGCAUUGUUAAGAAUGGUUCCUACAUAUA